Long non-coding RNA from Vitis riparia (riverbank grape), 1495 nucleotides. RefSeq lists it as uncharacterized. The record is from RefSeq and is a predicted model, not a curated record. NCBI's taxonomy places the organism in Eukaryota, Viridiplantae, Streptophyta, Magnoliopsida, Vitales, Vitaceae. The transcript has 4 exons.
UUCAAAUAAAAGUUAGAAGGCUCAUCAUCCCUUUAAAUAUAUUUGCACUUGGACAAGGCUUGAUCAAUCCCCAAAACCAUUGCAUCAAUCUUUGAGACUAGAGAGGGCUUCAGACCACUUGUUGCAGACAAGCCACAAAAGGCAAUUGCAGAUAGUAGUGAAGUAUGAAGAACCAACUUCCAGGACAGGUUGUCAGAAUUCCAAUCAACUGCCAAUGCAAUGAUCCCUCUCCUUCAAAUGGCGCUCUGAUGUUAACUCAAAAUAAAAUCGAUUCAAUGAAUCAUAGGAUGAAAAAACAUCCGAAAAAGACAGCAAAUUUUGUGCAUGGAGUCCGAGAGCAUUUGAGAAUAGGGUCUAAGAUCUCUGAAACCGUGAAGGGCAAGUUGAGAUUGGGGCUAGGAUUCUUCAACUUGGAGGGGUGAAGAAAGUUUUCAGACAAAUUUUUGGUUUUGGAAAAGGAGAGAAGCUGUUGAAGGCUUCUCAAUGUUAUUUAUCAACAACAGCAGGCCCUAUAGCAGGCCCUAUAGCAGGCCUCCUCUUUAUCUCAACUCAAAGGCUUGCAUUUUUCAGUGAAAGAUCAAUCAGAUUUUCUUCCCCAAAUGGUGAAUUGGUUAGAUUUCAUUACAAGGUCUCGAUCCCACUAAGAAAGAUAAAGAGAGCCAACCAAAGUGAGAAUGUGAAAAAUCCUUCUUAGAAGUACAUUGAAAUUGUUACCACGGAUAACUUUGACUUCUGGUUUAUGGGAUUCUUGAAUUACCAGAAAGCUUUCAGCUAUCUUCGAGAGGCUAUCUCUCAAGUGCAGAAUCCACUCCAGAACUGAUUCAAGUCAUAAGUUUCCUCCCUCCCGCUUCAACAAAUGGAUUUACAUGAACCUUGUUGGUUUUGAUAGAAACAAAGUGUAGAAUAUUUCAGGAAGCAACAGAACGUUGAGGAAUCUAAAGUGAUAUAUAAUUUAUUAAGCUUCAAAGUACUUAUUUAUACAGUAGCUUAAAACAGAAAAACAUAAAAAAUAGUAACAAACCUGCUACCUAUAAAUACUUCCUAAAGAAUAGAAACAAACCAACAAAUACUUCCUAAGGAAUAGGUAAAUCUUCCACAUGACUAACUUAUUUGACUACUUCCACUUCAAUCUACUCAGCUCCAUGUUAGCAGCUCCUAGGACAUGUCAUUCAACACUCCUCCUUGUCUCUGGAGCUGCAGACUCCAAGCCUAUGCCUCAAGAACUCAUAUCUGGCUUUGGGAAGUGGCUUGGUUAAGAUAUCAGCAUUCUGACUUUCUUAUCCAAUUUGUCUCUCUUAACAUGUGGAAUAUAACAGAAACAAAGACAAUCAAAUGUUUUUAAAUUUUGUAGCCUUGGUUUAUGGCCAUACCAUGCUUCAAAUGGAGUCUUUUGUUGCAAAGCUUUUGUUGGCAAUCUAUUCAGCAGAAAGACUGAUGUAUGUGCAGCCUUAGCCCAGAAUUUCUUUGGCAGCCCUUUGUCAUGCAGCAAACACCU